UACGGGAGGCAGCAGUGGGGAAUAUUGCACAAUGGGCGAAAGCCUGAUGCAGCUAUGCCGCGUGUAUGAAGAAGGCCUUAGGGUUGUAAAGUACUUUCAUCGGGGAGGAAAAAACAAAACUAAUAAUUUUAUUUCUUGACGUUACCCGAAAAAGAAGCACCGGCUAACUCCGUGCCAGCAGCCGCGGUAAUACGGAGGGUGCUAGCGUUAAUCAGAAUUACUGGGCGUAAAGAGCACGUAGGUGGUUUUUUUAAGUCAGAUGUGAAAUCCCUGGGCUUAACCUAGGAACUGCAUUUUGAAACUGAAAUACUAGAGUAUCGUAGAGGGAGGUAGAAUUCUAGGUGUAGCGGUGAAAUGCGUAGAUAUCUGGAGGAAUACCUGUGGCGAAAGCGGCCUCCUAAACGAAUACUGACACUGAGGUGCGAAAGCGUUGGGGAGCAAACAGGGAUUAGAUACC
RNAcentral lists this ribosomal RNA (457 nucleotides) under uncultured bacterium. RNAcentral's name for it is "bacterial SSU rRNA". It matches the Rfam family "Bacterial small subunit ribosomal RNA", at positions 340 to 786 of the family's 1533-position model. The record is from RNAcentral.